RNAcentral lists this ribosomal RNA (513 nucleotides) under uncultured bacterium. RNAcentral describes it as "partial 16S ribosomal RNA". The record is from RNAcentral.
GGAGUUAGCCGGUGCUUCUUCUGCGAGUAACGUCACAGAUGUAAGGUAUUAACUUACACCCUUUCCUCCUCGCUGAAAGUGCUUUACAACCCGAAGGCCUUCUUCACACACGCGGCAUGGCUGCAUCAGGGUUUCCCCCAUUGUGCAAUAUUCCCCACUGCUGCCUCCCGUAGGAGUCUGGGCCGUGUCUCAGUCCCAGUGUGGCUGAUCAUCCUCUCAGACCAGCUAGGGAUCGUCGCCUAGGUGAGCCUUUACCUCACCUACUAGCUAAUCCCACCUGGGCUUAUCCAUCAGCGCAAGGCCCGAAGGUCCCCUGCUUUCCCCCGUAGGGCGUAUGCGGUAUUAGCAGUCGUUUCCAACUGUUAUCCCCCACAAAUGGGCAAAUUCCCAGGCAUUACUCACCCGUCCGCCGCUCGUCAUCUUCAAAAGCAAGCUUUUGAAAUGUUACCGCUCGACUUGCAUGUGUUAGGCCUGCCGCCAGCGUUCAAUCUGACGACAUCAAUUCAACUCUGA